RNAcentral lists this ribosomal RNA (497 nucleotides) under uncultured bacterium. RNAcentral describes it as "partial 16S ribosomal RNA". It matches the Rfam family "Bacterial small subunit ribosomal RNA", at positions 28 to 507 of the family's 1533-position model. The record is from RNAcentral.
GAUGAACGCUGGCGGCGUGCCUAAUACAUGCAAGUCGAGCGAACAGACGAGGAGCUUGCUCCUCUGACGUUAGCGGCGGACGGGUGAGUAACACGUGGAUAACCUACCUAUAAGACUGGGAUAACUUCGGGAAACCGGAGCUAAUACCGGAUAAUAUAUUGAACCGCAUGGUUCAAUAGUGAAAGACGGUUUUGCUGUCACUUAUAGAUGGAUCCGCGCCGCAUUAGCUAGUUGGUAAGGUAACGGCUUACCAAGGCGACGAUGCGUAGCCGACCUGAGAGGGUGAUCGGCCACACUGGAACUGAGACACGGUCCAGACUCCUACGGGAGGCAGCAGUAGGGAAUCUUCCGCAAUGGGCGAAAGCCUGACGGAGCAACGCCGCGUGAGUGAUGAAGGUCUUCGGAUCGUAAAACUCUGUCAUUAGGGAAGAACAAAUGUGUAAGUAACUAUGCACGUCUUGACGGUACCCAAUCAGAAAGCCACGGCUAACUACGUG